AUCAGUAGUUUUUUAAUUAGAAGCUGGUAUGAAUGGUUGAACGAAAUAUUGACUGUCUUUGUUUAAUUUUAAUUGAAGUUUACAUUUAAAUUAAAAGGUUUAAAUUAAAUUAAAAGACGAGAAGACCCUAUAGAUCUUUAUAAAUAAUUAAAUUAAUUUUAUAUAUAAAAAUUUAUUAUUUAUUUAAUUGUUUAUUUUAUUGGGGUGAUAGAAAAAUUUAUUUAACUUUUUUUUUAAAAAACAUUUAUUUAUGGUUAAUUGAUCCUUUUUUAUUGAUUAAAAAAUUAAGUUACCUUAGGGAUAACAGCGUA
This 311-nucleotide ribosomal RNA is filed under the name Symmerus annulatus. RNAcentral describes it as "partial 16S ribosomal RNA". Lineage: Eukaryota; Metazoa; Arthropoda; Insecta; Diptera; Mycetophilidae. The record is from RNAcentral.